CCCUUAGACGUUCUGGGCCGCACGCGCGCUACACUGACGAAGGCAACGAGCUACUCUUCACCGAAAGGUGUGGGUAAUCUUUUGAAACUUCGUCGUGCUGGGGAUAGAUCCUUGCAAUUUUUGAUCUUAAACGAGGAAUUCCUAGUAAGCGCAAGUCAUCAACUUGCGUUGACUACGUCCCUGCCCUUUGUACACACCGCCCGUCGCUACUACCGAUUGAAUGGUUUAGUGAGGCCUUCGGAUCCGCGAUUUUAUUGUGGAGAAGUUGGACAAACUCAGUCAUUUAGAGGAAGUAAAAGUCGUAACA
This 307-nucleotide ribosomal RNA is filed under the name uncultured eukaryote. Its description in RNAcentral is "partial 18S ribosomal RNA". It matches the Rfam family "Eukaryotic small subunit ribosomal RNA", at positions 1470 to 1796 of the family's 1831-position model. The record is from RNAcentral.